GACGAACGCUGGCGGCGUGCUUAACACAUGCAAGUCGAACGAUGAAGCCGGAGCUUGCUCUGGUGAAUUAGUGGCGAACGGGUGAGUAACACGUGAGUAACCUGCCCAUGACUCUGGGAUAACUGCGGGAAACUGUAGCUAAUACCGGAUACGACCCUUGGAGGCAUCUCCUGAGGGUGGAAAGAAUUUCGGUCAUGGAUGGACUCGCGGCCUAUCAGCUAGUUGGUGAGGUAAAGGCUCACCAAGGCGACGACGGGGAGCCGGCCUGAGAGGGUGACCGGCCACGCUGGGACUGAGACACGGCCCAGACUCCUACGGGAGGCAGCAGUGGGGAAUAUUGCACAAUGGGCGCAAGCCUGAUGCAGCAACGCCGCGUGAGGGACGACGGCCUUCGGGUUGUAAACCUCUUUUAGUAGGGAAGAAGCGAAAGUGACGGUACCUGCAGAAAAAGCACCGGCUAACUACGUGCCAGCAGCCGCAGUAA
This 484-nucleotide ribosomal RNA is filed under the name uncultured bacterium. RNAcentral describes it as "partial 16S ribosomal RNA". It matches the Rfam family "Bacterial small subunit ribosomal RNA", at positions 28 to 523 of the family's 1533-position model. The record is from RNAcentral.